AUGGAGGGUGCCCACCGGCCGCCGUCGUUGAGGACGCCCACCAGAUGUUGCGAGCAACUUUCUUCCCCCUGUGCUUCUACGAUCAUCUUGUCUCCCAGCCAAGCUGCUCAUCGCCGUCGUGGAGAGAUGAUGUCACUUGCUCUCCCUCGCACCAGCGGAUGCUGCAUGGUUCCGCCGGUGGUGCUGCAUCACGGGAGGCCCUCGAGUUGGUGCUGCAGGCGGAGGCGCUGGUGGCCAUUGGGGCUGCUGCGGGACGGCGACGGCGAAGCCAAUUUUUGUGUGCUGGAAUCAGAGAGAUGCGCGGUGCUACAACCGGUGCCCAAAAAAGCUACAACCAGUGACGACAAACGCUUCAACCCGCUAUGA
This 366-nucleotide ribosomal RNA is filed under the name Triticum aestivum (bread wheat). RNAcentral's name for it is "partial small subunit ribosomal RNA". The record is from RNAcentral. Lineage: Eukaryota; Viridiplantae; Streptophyta; Magnoliopsida; Poales; Poaceae.